This 85-nucleotide non-coding RNA is filed under the name unclassified sequences. The record is from Rfam.
GAAACCCGCAAGGCCGACAGCGUUCCCGCUGCCGCUGGUGCAAGCCCAGCCGCCCCAGACCGGGGCGGGCGCUCAUGGGUAACAG